Molecule: non-coding RNA, 231 nt
Filed under: Bacillus manliponensis
Lineage: Bacteria; Bacillati; Bacillota; Bacilli; Caryophanales; Bacillaceae
Description: T-box sequence
Rfam family: T-box leader
About the family: Uncharged tRNA acts as the effector for transcription antitermination of genes in the T-box leader family. T-boxes are found upstream of many aminoacyl-tRNA synthetase genes and some amino acid biosynthetic genes usually in Gram-positive bacteria. The anticodon of a specific tRNA base pairs to a specifier sequence within the T-box motif, and the NCCA acceptor tail of the tRNA base pairs to a conserved bulge in the T-box antiterminator hairpin.
Source: RNAcentral
GAAAAAGCGUUGAUAGGGAGGAGUAGUUGAUUGUGAAGCCUCACAGAGAGUCGGUGGUUGCUGGAAACCGAUGGUUCACAUUAACGAACAUCGCCCUUGAGUGCCAAGCUGAAGCUAUUGCGCCUAGGUUUGGACGGUGGCACCGUUAUGAGCUAAACUCGUUUAGAGUUACUGAGGCAAGGAGUUUUUCUUGCGAAGAAGGGUGGUACCGCGAAAUCUUUCGUCCCUUCA